UACAGAGGGGGCAAGCGUUAUUCGGAAUUAUUGGGCGUAAAGAGCGUGUAGGCGGUCAGGUAGGUCCGUUGUGAAAACUCGAGGCUCAACCUCGAGACGCCGAUGGAAACCAUCUGACUAGAGUCCGGAAGGGGAGAGUGGAAUUCCUGGUGUAGCGGUGAAAUGCGCAGAUAUCAGGAAGAACACCCGUGGCUAAGGCGGCUCUCUAGUACGGUACUGACGCUGAGACGCGAAAGCGUGGGGAGCGAACAGG
RNAcentral lists this ribosomal RNA (253 nucleotides) under uncultured bacterium. RNAcentral's name for it is "partial 16S ribosomal RNA". It matches the Rfam family "Bacterial small subunit ribosomal RNA", at positions 524 to 776 of the family's 1533-position model. The record is from RNAcentral.